Molecule: ribosomal RNA, 757 nt
Filed under: Pseudomonas putida
Lineage: Bacteria; Pseudomonadati; Pseudomonadota; Gammaproteobacteria; Pseudomonadales; Pseudomonadaceae
Description: bacterial SSU rRNA
Rfam family: Bacterial small subunit ribosomal RNA
Source: RNAcentral
UUCCCCGGGGCGCCUAACCAUGCAAGUCGAGCGGAUKWCGGGYAGSUUGACUGCUCUUGAUUCAGCGGCGGACGGGUGAGUAAUGCCUAGGAAUCUGCCUGGUAGUGGGGGACAACGUUUCGAAAGGAACGCUAAUACCGCAUACGUCCUACGGGAGAAAGCAGGGGACCUUCGGGCCUUGCGCUAUCAGAUGAGCCUAGGUCGGAUUAGCUAGUUGGUGGGGUAAUGGCUCACCAAGGCGACGAUCCGUAACUGGUCUGAGAGGAUGAUCAGUCACACUGGAACUGAGACACGGUCCAGACUCCUACGGGAGGCAGCAGUGGGGAAUAUUGGACAAUGGGCGAAAGCCUGAUCCAGCCAUGCCGCGUGUGUGAAGAAGGUCUUCGGAUUGUAAAGCACUUUAAGUUGGGAGGAAGGGCAGUAAGUUAAUACCUUGCUGUUUUGACGUUACCGACAGAAUAAGCACCGGCUAACUCUGUGCCAGCAGCCGCGGUAAUACAGAGGGUGCAAGCGUUAAUCGGAAUUACUGGGCGUAAAGCGCGCGUAGGUGGUUCGUUAAGUUGGAUGUGAAAGCCCCGGGCUCAACCUGGGAACUGCAUCCAAAACUGGCGAGCUAGAGUACGGUAGAGGGUGGUGGAAUUUCCUGUGUAGCGGUGAAAUGCGUAGAUAUAGGAAGGAACACCAGUGGCGAAGGCGACCACCUGGACUGAUACUGACACUGAGGUGCGAAAGCGUGSSGAGCAAACAGGAUAGGAUA